Molecule: ribosomal RNA, 252 nt
Filed under: uncultured bacterium
Lineage: Bacteria
Description: partial 16S ribosomal RNA
Rfam family: Bacterial small subunit ribosomal RNA
Source: RNAcentral
UACGUAGGGGGCUAGCGUUAUCCGGAAUUACUGGGCGUAAAGGGUACGUAGGUGGUUUCUUAAGUCAGAGGUGAAAGGCUACGGCUCAACCGUAGUAAGCCUUUGAAACUGGGAAACUUGAGUGCAGGAGAGGAGAGUGGAAUUCCUAGUGUAGCGGUGAAAUGCGUAGAUAUUAGGAGGAACACCAGUUGCGAAGGCGGCUCUCUGGACUGUAACUGACACUGAGGCACGAAAGCGUGGGGAGCAAACAGG